This 451-nucleotide ribosomal RNA is filed under the name uncultured bacterium. RNAcentral describes it as "bacterial SSU rRNA". It matches the Rfam family "Bacterial small subunit ribosomal RNA", at positions 354 to 796 of the family's 1533-position model. The record is from RNAcentral.
GUGGGGAAUAUUGGGCAAUGGGCGAAAGCCUGACCCAGCGACGCCGCGUGGGUGAUGAAGGCCUUCGGGUUGUAAAACCCUUUCGUGCGGAAAGAAUAGUCUCGUAGCGAAUAACUACGGGAUUUGACGGUACCGCAGGAAGAAGCACCGGCUAACUCCGUGCCAGCAGCCGCGGUAAUACGGAGGGUGCAAGCGUUGUUCGGAAUUAUUGGGCGUAAAGGGCGCGUAGGUGGUUGUGAUAGUCAGAUGUGAAAUCCUUCGGCUCAACCGAAGAACUGCAUCUGAAACUUCAUAGCUCGAGUACAGGAGAGGGAAACGGAAUUCCCGGUGUAGAGGUGAAAUUCGUAGAUAUCGGGAGGAACACCAGUGGCGAAGGCGGUUUCCUGGCCUGAUACUGACGCUGAGGCGCGAAAGCGUGGGGAGCAAACAGGAUUAGAAACCCUAGUAGUCC